RNAcentral lists this ribosomal RNA (420 nucleotides) under uncultured bacterium. Its description in RNAcentral is "bacterial SSU rRNA". It matches the Rfam family "Bacterial small subunit ribosomal RNA", at positions 356 to 773 of the family's 1533-position model. The record is from RNAcentral.
GGGGAAUAUUGGACAAUGGGCGCAAGCCUGAUCCAGCCACGCCGCGUGAGUGAUGAAGGCCUUCGGGUCGUAAAGCUCUGUGGGGAGGGACGAACGUCCGGGUGAAGAAUCCGGGGUGACGGUACCUCCUUAGCAAGCACCGGCUAACUUCGUGCCAGCAGCCGCGGUAAUACGAAGGGUGCAAACGUUGCUCGGAAUCAUUGGGCGUAAAGCGCACGUAGGCGGCCCUAUAAGUCGGAUGGGAAAUCCCUCGGCUCAACCGAGGACGUGCAUCCGAAACUGUAGGGCUCGAGUAUGGAAGAGGGUCGCGGAAUUCUCGGUGUAGAGGUGAAAUUCGUAGAUAUCGGGAGGAACACCAGUGGCGAAGGCGGCGACCUGGGCCAAUACUGACGCUGAGGUGCGAAAGCGUGGGGAGCAAAC